Molecule: long non-coding RNA, 1229 nt
Organism: Magallana angulata
Lineage: Eukaryota; Metazoa; Mollusca; Bivalvia; Ostreida; Ostreidae
Exons: 3
Source: RefSeq, a predicted model, not a curated record
UUGCGACAUAAAUUUUGUAACACCUUUUAGGGAAUAAUGCAGUUUAGCUGCAUGUAAAGGUGCAAAAAACUUAAACAAACGGACAGACAGCAGUAACACACAUACAUAUUAAAAGUAUCACGUGAACACUUCGUGAAUCCACUUACGAUGAUUAAUUUCUUGACUGGUUUCCCCAACGUAGGGUAGUCACAUGAUCAUCAGGUCAUAGCUGCUUGUAAAGGUGCAAACCAAUUGAACAAAUUUAGGUUGCAUAACGCACACUGUUUAGGGGAUAGUUCAGUUUAGCUGCUUGUUAAGGUUCAAAACAAUUAAACAAGUAAGUUUUUUUUAUUUGGUUGUGUGUAAAUAUCUUGUUCUUUUAUCAGCAAUAAUAUGGUCCAUAACUUUAGUUCAAAUGUAGGCAUUUUUACUCUCUCUCUUCCUCACUAUUUAAUAAGCAUUUUACUUCAAUUUAACUAAUUAUUAAGUAACACUCAAAGCAAUUCAUAUUACGCCUAAAACUAUUGGAAUCUUUCCUUAAAAUUCAAUACCUUUUAUCUCUUAAUUUGUUUUCUAUAACACAUGUUCAUAACAUGAUCAUUGUAUCUUAUUCUUUAACUGUGAGUAGUAUGAUUGUGUAUACUAUGUAAUCAAACAUGUAGAUAUCGCUUAUGCAUGUACAUUCACAUCUACAAACUCUCUCUCUCUCUCUCUCUCUCUCUCUCUCUCUCUCUCUCUCUCUCUCUCUCUCUCUCUCUCUCUCUCUCUCUGAACUUGAAGGGUUUUUGAUAUAAACAUUUUCUUUGUAUACGUCCUUGUCAAAAUGGCGGCUUAAUAAAACCAUCCUGUUAAAUGAAAUACUUUUAAGCGUUUAAUUUUAGAUGGAUGACUGUUUACGUGUGUGUUCUGUUUUAGAAAAACAAAUAGUAUUUAUAUCUAUGCAGCCUGUAUGAUCCAGGGAUCAUGAAGGCACCAAUUAACAUUGCAGCAUAGGUUAUAUAUCUGCACACGGGCUUCAUUUUAUAUUUUGCUGAAAUAUACUUCCCUGAUCAGGAAAUGAAAACUCAUUGAAAAGGUCAUUGUUUUGAGGCAGGCUAGACUGCAGGCUCUGUUAUAAGGUGAACUGCAUCAGUUGAGUGUUAAUAAAUAUUCGGUGCAAGAUGAAGAGUAAUUAUACUGCGUACAUGUAAAUGGUAAAUAAGGAACUUUAAGUGACCCCCUUUAACAAAAAAUAUUUGGCAUUGCUAUCU